CAUCCAACCAGUAAGCCAUCCAUCUAUUCAGCCAGCCUACCUGACAGCCAGUUAACUUUCCAUUCAUACAACCAGCCAGCCAGCCAUCCAUCUUACAACCAGCCAUUCGUCCAUCUAUCUAUUCAUCCGACCAACCAACCUGCCAUCCAUUCAACCAGCCAGCCAGCCAUCCAUCUAUCCAGCCAGCCUACCUAACAGUCAGCUAUCCAUCCAUCUAGCCAGCCAGACAUCCAACCAGCCAGUCAUCCAACCAGUUAGCCAUCUAUUCAAUCAGGCAGCCAUCCAUCUAUCCAGCAUCCCACCUGCCAGCCAGCCAUCUAUUUGCCAACCAGCAAGCCAACCAUUCAUCCAUGUAUCCAUCCAUCUGACCAACUAUCCAUCUAUCCAUCCAUUCAACCAGCCAGCCAUGCAUCUAUCUAGUCAUCCCACCUGACAGCCAGAUGGCUUUCUAUCCAUCCAUCCAUCCAACCAGCCAGUCAUCCAUCCGACAACCAGCCACCUGGUUGGGCACCUGUUUUAAAGAAGGAUAUUAUGGUACUUGAAAAAUUGCAGAG
This is a non-coding RNA of Pelobates cultripes (western spadefoot toad), 554 nucleotides long. The record is from the annotation of a GenBank genome assembly. NCBI's taxonomy places the organism in Eukaryota, Metazoa, Chordata, Amphibia, Anura, Pelobatidae.